GAUGAACGCUAGCUACAGGCUUGACACAUGCAAGUCGAGGGGAAACGACAUUGGAAGCUUGCUUCCGAUGGGCGUCGACCGGCGCACGGGUGAGUAACACGUAUCCAACCUGCCCAUCACUUGGGGAUAACCUUGCGAAAGUAAGACUAAUACCCAAUGAUAUCUCUAGAAGACAUCUGAAAGGGAUUAAAGAUUUGUCGGUGAUGGAUGGGGAUGCGUCUGAUUAGCUUGUUGGCGGGGUAACGGCCCACCAAGGCGACGAUCAGUAGGGGUUCUGAGAGGAAGGUCCCCCACAUUGGAACUGAGACACGGUCCAAACUCCUACGGGAGGCAGCAGUGAGGAAUAUUGGUCAAUGGGCGAGAGCCUGAACCAGCCAAGUAGCGUGCAGGAUGACGGCCCUAUGGGUUGUAAACUGCUUUUAUAAGGGAAUAAAGUGAGUCUCGUGAGACUUUUUGCAUGUACCUUAUGAAUAAGGACCGGCUAAUUCCGUGCCAGCCGCCGCCGUAA
Molecule: ribosomal RNA, 508 nt
Filed under: uncultured bacterium
Lineage: Bacteria
Description: partial 16S ribosomal RNA
Rfam family: Bacterial small subunit ribosomal RNA
Source: RNAcentral